UUUGGUUAMCUCAUUCAAAAAAAUUUAUGUUUUUAAACUAGGAUUAGAUACCCUAUUAUUGUAAUGUACAGGUUUGUUAAUGCCUAGGUAGUAUUAGUUAUGGUCUUGAAACUUAAAAAAUUUGGCGGUAUCUUAGUCUGUUCAGAGGAACCUGUCAUGUAAUCGAUAGUCCACGUUGUACCUUACUUAUUUUUGUUUUUCAAUUUGUAUACCGCCGUUAUUGAAUAUUUUAUAAGAACAAUAAUUUUCAAUCUUUUUAAUGGAAUUUUAUAUCAGGUCAAGGUGCAGUUAAUGAAUAAGUAUGGAUGGGUUACAAUAGAUUUUUAUCUUCGGAUUUUUAAUUUAAAUAUUAGCUUGAAAAAGGAUUGUUAGUAAGCU
This 378-nucleotide ribosomal RNA is filed under the name Stichopogon scaliger. RNAcentral's name for it is "partial small subunit ribosomal RNA". Lineage: Eukaryota; Metazoa; Arthropoda; Insecta; Diptera; Asilidae. The record is from RNAcentral.